UCGAGGGCUCGAAUACAUAGCUCGAUACACAAGAGUCGGCGGAAGCAACAAUAUUUGAGUACAGACGUAAGUUAAACAAGGAUGCCUUAAGAAGGCUAGCACAAAAGCAACACGAUCGAAGAGGCAAGGCCACCUGCCUAUGACCUCCUAACUACUCCUGGCCAUCGGCGGUCUCCAUGUAGUAGUAUCCGUCGGCGGUGGCAUCUGGUUCCAGGGGUCCACCAUCUGGUUGCAACAACCGGAAAGAAGAAAAAAGGGGGAAAAUGGGGUAGCAAACCAACCGUGAGUACUCAUCCAAAGUACUCACAAGCAUCAGAUCUAUACUAGGCAUGCAUUGGUAUCAAAUGGAAGGUUUGUAUCUGUGGGCUGAACUGCAGAAAGCCAGAAUAGAGAGGGAAGGCCUAGCCUAUCGAAGACUAGCAUCUUCAAGCAGCUCCGAGCAUCUUGCAGCAUGUAGAAGAGUAAAGAAUAGCAGUUUAUAAUUAACAAACAUGUUGUAACAUUAAUGCCCAGAGAUCCUUCCUCGACUCCCUGCGAGAAAGCAAUCCCGAAGCCACAUAUCUCAAGUAUCCAUUUGUAGUUGUAUAAGAUCAGGAUAUAAGUCUGAGCGUCUGUUACCGUGGACACGGCUAAUAUUAGAUAAUAUUCCUUGCAGGGGUGCACCAUGUUUUCCAGCACACUUGAUUACUCUGGCCGGACACACUUUCUGGGGUCAUGCCCGGCCUCGGAAGAUCAACACGUCGCAGCCCUACCUAGGCUCAGCAGAGAGGUCCCCGCCGGUCUACCUCCUAAGCACUCCGGGGUCUGGGCCCAUCGCCCGUUACACUCCGGGUCGUUGCACACAGGGAGGACCUAGGCACCACCUUUGGGGUGCCGGCCUAGCCGUGCCGUACUGCUGAACUUGACGUCUGACAAAGCUUCGGCUGAUACCACGACGCCGAGGUCCAUAACUAUUCUCACGUGGUGAUUGGUGCGUAAAGGCCAAAGGCCAACUCAGAACAAAUACCCAAACCAUAGUGUAUUAUUAGCUUGCGGAGAUAAGCAAAGACUCACGAUCGAAGUGACCCCGUCGCCCCGUCUCAUGGACUUACGGCAAGGGCCCAGAAUGCCCGGCCGUGCCAUGUAACCAUCUUGCGGGUGCUCUCCGGGCCCGCCCGACUUUCACCAAGGUCUCAAGUAAAGUCAAUUGUAACCGUGUGUCCAAACAUCAAGGGGAAAACCCUAGGAAUCACCCAUGGAGGAUUCCACUCGAUGUAAUCAUCAAGAUGAACGUAAGAGGAUCCACCCUCGAGGUUCACACUUGAGGUGUUGCACGACAGAGCCGUAUCGAGAAUGGUGAAAGAGGAAAUCACCCUCGUUGACCACGACUAAAUAGCUACACUACAGAGAUCUCAUCAAGAGUGAUGUAUGAGGUUCCACCCUCGUCACUCGAUGGUAACUCUGCAGAGUCGAGCAACAAAAAGGGGCGUGAUGUGAUGUGAGGUGUCAGGCUCUGGUCGUCGAUCACGUUGAUCGGGUCAUCGAUGAUGAAGCAGGGGCAACAAGGACAAGUGGGGGUCACUGAUGGAUCACUAACCGACCUAUACUAAGUAGUUUAGGUUAAGUAGGUAAGGUACAACAACAGGUUACAAAAGCAAGCUAUGCAUCAGAAUAGGAGCAAUCAAUGACAGUAGCAAAAUCUAAUGCAAGCAUGAUAGAAUGGAAUGGGUGAUAUCAGGAUGAUCAAAGGGGGGGCUUGCCUAGAAGCUCCACUGAAAGGGAAGAAGAGUCGUCGUCGACGUAGACGAUCACAGUGGCAUCAACAGCGGUCUCGGGGUCUAUCGGAGAGAAGAGGGGGAAGAAAUAGUAAAUACAUGCCAAUAUAAGCAUAACAUGACUAUAAGGGAUGCUAGGGGUGUUCUAACGCGGUGUUACAUGAUACCGGCGCAGGGAGAAAUAUCCGGGAAAGUUUUCCCGGUUCCGGAGUCUAUUAGACAGAUGAACCGGAGGGAAAAGGUUGCAUUUUCGCUAUGCUAGGGAUGUGUGGCGGAUGAACAGACCAUGUAUUCAGAUUCAUCUCGUAGUUCUGAGCAACUUUCAUGUAUAAAAGUUUUUCAUCUGACUUACGGAUUAUUUUAAAUGGUUUUCUAAAGUUUUAGUAAUAUUCUGAAAUGAACAGAUUUAAUUAAAAUGAAAACAGGGUUAUGACAUCAGCAUGAUGUCAGUAGCCAACAGGGCUGUUCACUGGGUCAGCUAACAUGUGGGUCCUGGUUGUCAUAGACACAGUUAACUAACAAACUUUAAUUAGCUAAAUAGGUAAUUAGACUUAACUAAACAAAAUUAAUUAAGUUAAUUAAUUAAUUAGCUAAUUAAUUUUAUUAAUAUAUUUUUUGUUUGUUUUGUUUUUUUACAGGAAAAUGGGGCUGGGGGCCCCACUAGGCUGUGACCCGGGGGGGUUAGCGGGUGCGGCUAAACGGGCGCCGACGGGGCCCCAGGCGCGCGGUGCGAGUGCUGCCCGGGCGCUGACUGAGCCCAACGAGGCAAACCGCAGGGGGGUGGCACAGCCAGGCACAACCACGGGCGCGUCCCAGGCGCAGCCACGGGCGCGGCCCCAGCGCGGGACGACGGGCGCGCAACAGCGGCAGUGGCAGAGCUGUGCGGCCGCAGCUGACGAAGGUGGGAGAGGCGGGGCGCGUGCUGGGCGCGGUGAGCACAAGACAGGACGCAGGGACCGUGUCGACCGAGGCAGCGUUGUAUGUCGUCGGGGGAGGAAAGGCAGAGAGAGGGGUUCUCACCCCCGUUGUAGAUGAACUGGGGGUCCGGCGAGGCGCGAUGACGAAGCCGAGGAGGAGACGAAGACGAGGCGAUGGGGGCGAGGCAGUCUGGUGGCGGCGGCGGCGGGGUCUGGCGACGGCGAUUGGCAUCAAGGUAGAGGCAGCGGCGGUUGGCCCCGACCGGAUCCAUGCAGGGGGAGUCCGGGAUGAGUGCUGGAGAACGUGGAGGCGCGAGAUCCGGCCAGGUCCUGGCCGAGGACGGUGGCACAAGGACAGGGGGAGGAGUUGCGGGGCGGAGGCGGCGGUGCGGUGGUCCGGCGAGGUGGCCCUGGGCGAAAGCGACGGGCAGCACCGCGGGGUCGAACGACGGCGGCGGGAUCGGGUGCCCCGACCCAGAUGGGAUCGGGAGAGAAAGAGGGGGAGUGGGGAAACGUGAGAGAGUGGGGGUUGGGCUAGGGUUAGGUCGGGUGGGAGUCGGGCCAUAUAGGCCAGGGAGGGGUGUGGGGAGUGGGCCGGCCUGGCCGCCCGACUGAAAGGCCAGUUGGGCCACGAGGCCCACUCGGAGAGGGGGGGUUUAUCUUGUUUUUCACUUUUCAUUUCUUUUUGCAAUUUUUUUUAGCUAGCAAGUCUAUUUUGUAAAAUGUGGGACUUGCCCACAUAAAUAACUUGCAUUAACUAGCUCUGCCACAAAAAGUUAGGGAUACCAUUGCGUUUGUUAGAAUUUUUCAUAAAUGGAAAGGUAUUUGAAUAUAUUGCUCUAGCACUGAAUUAAUUAGUUUAGGGCAUUAAACCGCUUUAUAAAAAAUGUUGGUCCACCACCAAUGUUAGGAAGUGAAUAUUUGUCACAUGAUCAACAUUUUGGUUUUUCAUGUUUGUGAAACUUUGGAUUGUACUUAGAAUUUGAAAUUUGAAUUAGGACCGGAUUGAAUCAAAGGGGAAAGACUUAGGAAGGACAAAGCUCAACACAACAUAGGGUACCUGGGGCUAUCUCAUUGAACAUGGCAUAGAGGCACCUCUCGAGUCGAAAUUCAAGAAAGACGUCGAGAGCAAGGUAAGGAGGUGCAUUAAGAAGCUUCAACCGGGUAGGCAAUCAUUCGUUGCCUGAAAUAGAGGGUGAAAGGGGGGUUCAGAACAAUGGGAACAAGUAUUGCGUCUGAUACCAGAAUAGAUCACUAGGAAUGUGGCUCAUGAAUUACAUACGAAGCUAAGCGCGAGGAAUAACUUAGAAAAUAGGGAUGUAUAGGAGAGUCGGGUUUCGAUCAUGUGGAACUGUGGGUUAUGGGCCCACCAUGUGGGUUAAAAGCAGGAAGGGUGCUAACAUUUUGCACGGUCUUGAUAGCAAGGCAUGUCUAACAAUAACCUGUCAGUUACGUCGGCAACAACAUUGGUACCAAGGGCAAGGGACGAAGAGAACCAUUUUCCUGCUCGUUAAGACAAGACGGACCAAUAGGCAAAGUUCUCGUCCAUCGGUGGCUACCGGAAUGUCAUCAACAAUAGUAACAAAGUCUUACUGACAGAGUUGUACACUGAGGUGUUUACAUAACCAGGGAAUUAUCACUGCUCGGAUAUGUUAGGUUACAAGAAAGGUUAAACAACGCAAUGGAGACUUGAAUCAGUUAUCGGUGUUCUCGAGUGCCUAACAACUCAGAACCCGUGGAAAAUAUGAAUCGGCGAGAAUAAUAGUUGAUGAAAAACUCAUAAGAAGUUAUGUAGUUCUGUGAUAUUCUCGAGAUACCAGAGGGUAACACUUGAAGGUAGAUCAAAGUAGAGGCUUGACAGGUGAAAUGAUCUAAAGAAGACAAGUACUUUAACUCGUCCGAGAAAAGCAAUCAAAGGAUAACAGUCAUGGUCGGAACCACGGUUGCCAAGGACCAAGCAUAGAUACAGUAUGAACUCAUCACAAGGGGAUCACUAUUACAAGAAGCUUCCAUGGUAAGUUCCACACCGGGUCCAUGGGCAUGAACACAAAGGUUCAAGGUCGACUCCCACUUCAUCAAUGCAUAACCUUCCAUUUACUUCUCGUCUUUGACGAAGUUGUAGGGUCAAACUUCAUGAGUAAAUAACUCAAGAUCGGAGUAGAGCAUGAUUGAGGAAGCGGAAGAUACAAUUGACCAAAGGCAUUAUGUAUCCGAGGAAAGGCUCACAAGGUUACUGUAUAUGAAGGACGAUGUCAGAUAGAACCCCACAAAAGAUCUGGUGGUUCACAAGGGAUCUGAUGUGAGCAUCAGUACUCAACCAGAAGAAGAAAGAAUGCAAGGAUAAUAGAUUAUAGAAACAACUGACUAAUUCUAAGCUCGAAUGCAAAGGGGAUUGUGAUUUCCAAAACAGGGGAUCAGAAGUAGAGGCUCUGAUCAAAGACAAUUAAGUAGAAUGGACAUAGACCAACAAUCAAUCAAGAUUUGAUUUGUUUGAACACCAGCUCAUGUCCGAAGUGACGUCUGAACCAAGGGAAGAAUUUUAAAUAGGACUGAUGAUCGCGAGCAUUCACAAACUAAUCGAAUGAAAUGCUCGAAAUUACGAUGACAAAGGAUGCUAAUGAGUAUCGCUAGACAUACGGAGUAACCAUAAUGCAAGCAGAUAAGGAGAACAAGAGUAACAGGCUACUGAGGAUUUUCGGAAGAUCGAAUGAUAUUCCAAAGAAUUUUGUGAAACACAUGAACAACUGUGGAUGAAUGGAUACUCGGUAAGCGCGACUAAUUAUCCAUAGGGGUAUUUAGGUGGCAAAGAGCUACAAGGCAGUAGGCACAACAGAUUCUCAGGACAACAGAGAGUAAUUCGGGGCACCUUGAAAUAACAAGAGCAACUGGAGAUGAAGGUAUGAACGACAACAUAGGUAGUUACGCAUAAGGAUUUAUCGGUGGUAGGGAUCGCAACGGCAAAGGUUACAAGGGACUCGGUAAAACAUCGGAGAGUAUCUUCAGAACCUUCUGGUGUACCAAGUAAUCAUCUGGAGUGAGGGGCUCUACGGAAGAAAGUAUUUACGAGAACCUAGAGUUGGAGUUAGAAAAACCAUUUGACCUGAAUAGAAUAGAGAUCAGAAUCCCAGAGUAUAGAAGAUGAAUAAAAGAUCCUAAUACCACCCAAUGGCGACGUGGGCCCGUAAGGCACACAGUCAUGUUAGUAAAACCAUUUUUCAAACGCUAGACUCAACUUCGGCCAAGGAGUUGGAAAGGGGGAUCCUACAGGUAGUCGGCUCUGAUACCAACUUGUGACGCCCCCGAUUCAAUCGUACACUAAUCAUACACGCAAAUGUGUAUGAUCAAGAUCAGGGACUCACGGGAAGAUAUCAUAACACAACUCUACACACAAAUCAAAAUAAUACAAGCUUUAUAUUACAAGCCAGGGGCCUCGAGGGCUCGAAUACAUAGCUCGAUACAUGAGAUUCAGUGGAAGAACCAAUAUCUGAGUACAGACAUAAGUUAAACAAGGAUGCCUUAUGAAGGCUAGCACAAAAGCAACACGAUCGAAGAGGCAAGGCCUCCUGCCUGGGACCUCCUAACUACUCCUGGCCAUCGGCGGUCUCCAUGUAGUAGUAUCCGUCGGCGGUGGCAUCUGG
Molecule: long non-coding RNA, 6309 nt
Filed under: Triticum aestivum (bread wheat)
Lineage: Eukaryota; Viridiplantae; Streptophyta; Magnoliopsida; Poales; Poaceae
Description: long non-coding RNA (TAES_LNC011610)
Source: RNAcentral